This 22-nucleotide non-coding RNA is filed under the name Arabidopsis thaliana (thale cress). The record is from RNAcentral. Lineage: Eukaryota; Viridiplantae; Streptophyta; Magnoliopsida; Brassicales; Brassicaceae.
UCUGCGAUUAAGAUGACUCCAU